AGAAGGCAAGAAAAGCAGAAGUCAGAUUCAAACCAAACGACUCGAUCAUCCCCACACAAGAGCCAGCUGAAGUGCCUGUAACUGAACAACCUGCAUGUGCUGAGGAUGUCCCGUCUGCAGAGGACGUCUCCAUUCCACAUGGAUCUUCAGAUGCUUUCCUAACAGGUCUGACACUUCCGGAUGAAGUCAGGUCCGCUUCAGCCGAGCUCCACGCUUUUGAAUCCGCAAGUAAAAGACCCCCGGAGUGUCAUGAUGCUUUCACGAACACAGAACCACGUGAGUUCAAAUUAAUGAUAUUGGAGUUCUUUUACACAGGAGAGAUUCUCGCCAGAACU
This 335-nucleotide long non-coding RNA is filed under the name Salarias fasciatus (jewelled blenny). RNAcentral describes it as "lncRNA (ENSSFAG00005006646.1)". Lineage: Eukaryota; Metazoa; Chordata; Actinopteri; Blenniiformes; Blenniidae. The record is from RNAcentral.